GAAAGUCUCAUCAACGAUUCAUCAACGGCUGAAUAUUCUCAAUUUCCUAGCUAACCUACGCUCUCUGAAGAAUAAGUUGCAACAUCUGGGUUGCUUGAGCACCUGGUGCAAUUCCAUCGGAAGCUUCACAACGUUGUCUAAGAAUCGCGAUCGCAAAGUGUCACGAAGCAAGCCAUCAUCUUGUCUUACCUAACGAUCGUCCCUGAGCGAGCCAAGUGGCAAUAUCGACGGUCUAUACAAACUCCAUCCAUCCAUCCAGCGAUCUCCAAAAAUAUUGCCGCCGCGAGUGCUGCGAGGCCCAUCACGGUGAAGGAGUCGUGCUCUCGAGCAGAGUCGGAUCGCGGUCCAAGGUGCCAGGCGUAUUCCUGCAAAGGCAUUCGAUCGUUAGUUAAAGGGCAAUCCGUUAAAGGUGCAGAGAGGCGCAGGGGAAGGUUCCCCCGACGCCUGGUACGCACACAAUACCCCGGCCGCAGAACAGAUAGAGAACGAGAAGAGAAGAGAAGAGAAGAGAACGAAACGCGUCCGGAGGGUCCCGUGCCGGCAGAUGAAUCCUAAGCAAUUUCUCGCUGGUCGGGCCUCUUUGAUGCUUUGAACUCUCACCGCGCUAACCGAUCCUCCUGGUAAUCACGCGGCCCUCGCCACGCCCCGAAAAACACCUUCGAUCCUCCAGUCUCUCGCCUCUUGCUCUCUUCUCAGCCUCCUUUGAUCCUUUUCUCCGCUCGAAAACACGCUCUUCCUUUUUUUUUUAUCCCUUGGCUUCGUCCUAUCCUUCUUCGCUCUAAGCUGUGGCAUUUACUCUGUUUCUAUCUGUUCGCUCUACUCUUCAGUCUCUUCGAAGGUUCUUAUAUAUCUUUUCUCUUUUUUCUUCUCUUCUUGCUCGCUUUUUGUCUUUUUCAUUUGCUUUCGUUCGUUCGAGCUUGGAUCACAUAAGAGGAGAACACUGUUUUCGAUGGUUCAUCGACGUGUUUCUCGCUACGUCUAGCAGUUCGUUGCUGCGUUUCAGCGACUUCUCCACAUCCAAAGGCUUCUCAGGCCGAGUUUACACCAAAGUAGCGAUAGCGUUAUACCGUAAACAGUUAUCGAAUUUCACGAAUCUGUUCGCAAACUCGUCUACAACGAUUCCAAAAUCGUCUAAACUCGGUCUGGUCCCCGAGCGCGCGAUCGCAGCGCCCUUAAGGCUGGUUCACACACGGCCAGUAGUUUAAGUAAGUUGAAGCAGCGAGUAAAGCCGAAUUGACGAUAUUCGCGUUGUAGGAUCACCGUGGACGAAGACGAAAACGUUACUUUUCCGCGAAUCAACAGCGUAAAUCGUCCGCUUUGCUCGAUUAAACCUGUGGCCGUGUAUGAACCAGCCUUUACAGCACUCGGACGUUCGAUUUCCGGUUCGACGUGCGAUCGUCGAACAACGAAACGACGCUUUUGACGCGAUUGAAUAUUCGCAAAGCGGAGGGAAAAAGGGCGCCCGCAGAAGUCGGUGAAAACGCACCUUGACGAGGGCGCGCGACUGCCGACAGUGGCGACUAAUGUCUGCACGCGCGAGCGCACGAGCGAACGUGUUUUCUUGGCACCUGUUUCACUCCUCGUUUCGAGGGUUUUUCUGCCUACUGCCACGCUCUGCGUUUCCUCCUUCGCUCGUUUCUUUGGCGAGGGUUUAGGAAGCUGCAGCGCUCCAUGAUAAUACGCCGGAGCUUCCGUUUCUUUUUGUCCGCCUGACUCGUACAGAUCGCGUCCUACGUAUUUCUAUUGGGUUGGCAACUAAGUGAUUGCAGAAUUUGUCAUUACCACCUAAUGGUAAAAUCGCCAAUCACUUAGUUGCCAUCCGAAUACAUCGUGAUCUUGUCAUUCGGCGAAGUAGUAGAUAUUUCUUCACAUUAAACAGGUAAUAGAUACUGUGUAUCUACUGCAACAACGAACAUGGAGUACAAAACUGUGUAGCAGUGUGAAUCCAUCUAUCUUCGUAGCGACAUGUUGAAACUUACGGUUGUCGUUGAGAAAUAUACGGCCAAUUAAUUGUUUCUCACGGAAUACAAAUCGGUUAGAAAAUUGCAAGUAGGAAGGAUCGGCAUGAGAAUCCUAUCGCGGUAUAUCGCGAGAUAAAAUUUGUUGUUGAAGGGCAGCGAAAAGAUGAGCAUCUAAGAAGCGCCAACCUGUCGAUCGAUAAACUAUCUUACAUUUUAUUAUCGUUUUAUGUCACGACAGGAAGGGAACGCGUUACAACACUCCGUGUUUAUUAUUAUAGCGUCGUUUUAUCUUACGAAUAUUUUGGAAUAUCGUAGAAUUGGAAAGGCAGCGACGUGUAUCUUAAAAAUGGAAAAUAUGCACGAAAGAUGAAAAUAAAUGGGAAAUUGGGAUACGUGGGAUUGCGGACGUGGCAAAUAUUGAAAGUAAUAAAAUUUCAGGUUGAUACGAUCCCAUUACCGCUCAUGACGCCAUAAUCACAACCGUGGGAUCUGAUUUCAAGCUUUUGAUCGGCAAUUCCGGAGAUUGUAUCUCUAACGACCUCGAUCGGCUCUUUAAUUUUUCCUCCUUCCUCUUCCUUAUCCUUCUGUGCGCAGCAUCAAACUACAUAAUCAGUAUAAAUUAUGCAUCUUCUUGUUAAAAAAAGCCACGAUAAAUUUUCGCUUAUAUAAAUUUGCUCGUUCGUGUUGCUCUUGCUUUUGCUUCUAUAAUUAUGUCGCUAUUAAAUAGCUCGCCAUAAAACGAUUGAUAUUUUUCCCUCUGUCGUUUCUUCAGUUAAAAGCAACAAACGAUCCCCUCUUUCGAGUAGUUAUUUUUUAUUUGUAUUAGAAAUCAAAUUUACCCAAGCCUGCCUCCCAUAUAUAAUCAUUCACAAAGAAAACAUACAAAAGGAAGGACGGAUGAAAACGUAAGGUUAAUAAGUUUACAGUAGAAGCCAAUAAUACAGCAGGGGAGAAAAAAGCGGAAUCUCAGAUGUUAACCGAACAACUAUAAUCAUUAAUCAAAUCUCCCUCGCCCUUUUCUCGCUGCCCCGAUCCUCCCUCAGCGAUAAGUAAUUCAUUAGGCAUUGACUAACUCCAUCUGGCCGUCUAUUAAGAAGGCCAGCGAGAGGGAAGAACCGUGACCAAUUGAGUAAAUAAUACACGUGAAAUUUGAGAAAGUCCGCUGUCCUUCGCUGUGAAACUUGCUGAGAGCGAAACGCAGGAUAAUAGAAAUAACGAUCCGUCCAAGAGCUGAUUAAUUUCAAUCUUCCGCUGCACGUCUCUUCGUACAAUCUGCCACUCUAUCGGUUUUCUUCGUCCAAAUUUUGCUUCUUCUUUUUCUUCUUCUUCUUCUUCUUCUUCUUCUUCUUCUUCUCUGGCAACGGUAUAAGUAAACGUUAUUAAGACGAUUAAAAAAUCAACGAGACACGGAUGUUCAUGUACUUGCGAAUUUUGAUUGGACAGUUUAAUCGUGCGCAUGAAUGUAUAGAAAUUGUGAAAAAUAUUUCUACGAUAUGUCAACGUAAUACUUACGGUGUUUAGGAAGUGAAAGGAGUCUGUGUUUAAGCGCCUUUUCUUCUAUGUGUCAUCUGGCGUGUAUGAUAUCUGGAAUCUACGCGUAUCCUUGGAUUAACCGGUCAUUCAUUCAUCCAGUUGAGGUCGCAUAAAGACCGGUUGAAAGAAACUCCGCCGUAAUUGCUACGAAAAUUGAAAUUCCUCCGCGAAAUACCAGAAAAGAAAAAAGGAACAGAAGAGCAGCGGGACAUCAAGAGUUACAUCAAGACGCUCGUACCAAAAUCUAACGACCACCGACAAACCAGGACGAACGAGCGGCCAAGGCAGCAGCGCGAGAAAGCGACGAAGACCCCAGAAUAGGAUCAAGGACACGAGCAAAAUAGCCUGCGAAGAAGAAGACGAAAAUCAGCGAAGAACAAGAAGAAGAGGAAAAUAGCGGAGGAAGAAACAGGCGAAGACGAAGAGGAGGAAGAUGCAAGGAAAGAAGCAGCACAAAGGGAAGUAAAGGAGAGGCACGAGAGCAAGCAAGAUGGUAAAAGGAGGAGAAGGAUGCUCCUAAUUCGUAGUUCGGGGCGGGGUUUUUUUCGGCGAUAGAGAGGAGGAGAGCGAGGCUGAGCAUUGGUGAAACAGAGACAGAGACAGGCACAAAGCGAGCUGAGGUAUAAAUUGGUUUGUUUGCCGCGGAGAUAAAAGGGGCCGCUAAAUGUUAUCUUUAAGGUGUCGGAUCAACGCAAAUGUGGCUGAGUUACUCGUAAUUAUAGUAUACACGGGCCGAGACCCUCGCCUCUACCUGCCGCGCCAUCGGCCGCCGCUCUCCUCUCUUCUUCUCCUUUCUCUUUCUCUCUCUGUUGCCUCGUUUCAACCCAUUGGCGUAACUAUCGAUCGCGAUCCGAUCUACGGGCCGAGAUACCGACCGACAGAGGCGAUACUUGUUUGGUUAGACUGGAAUAUCCACGGGUGGGGCAACGAGCAGCGCGAGGGACCAUCCUCCUCUCUAUCUUCGGACAACCACUUGGCUUGGGUCAGAAGCGAUAUGCUGUUGCUCGCCUUGAUAUACACACUCUAUGAAGAAUUCUCUAAGACAGUCAGUUUAUUGGUUUCUACAAAAGGGUGUUUUGUUUAGACACUUAGAGAUGGAGCUGACGGAAUGCUGCAGUUAGAGAGAACAUGAGCAAGGUAACGAAUUAUACUCACACGGUUCUUACGACUUAUUGCCAUUUAAUUCUCUUGAUGCGCACAGUUCCAACUUCUUCGCUAGACAAACGUUGCUCUCGUUAUCGAAACGAGGGCGAGGAUGCCAUGUACGUAGAUAUAUGUACGUAGGUGAGAAGACAGGUUAGAAUAUUUGAAAUUUGAAGAGCCGAUAACUCGCUGCAACAGAGAGAGUGAUUUGAAUAGCGCGUUGCUUAUGAUAUGAACGUAGCGUAGCUUGAAAAUACGCGGACGAUUUCUUUUCAAGAAAAAAAGAGGUCUUUCGUGGAUCUUCUUUGUUUACAUUUUCUAAUAUCUGCUAAAAAAAAAUAAAAGGGUGGGUUACCAACGGCGCACAGAAUUCCUAAGGGGCGGUCACCCAUCUUAGUACCUCUCCGUGCCGCGCGCUGCUUAACUCUGGCGAUCGGAUGAAAACCAGCAUUUUCAGCGCGCUUUCGUCGUUGGCGCAGGUUAAGUGUUUUUCUAGAAAAACGAAGAACACAGUUUGAUAAAACUUAAGAAUUAUUUCGUUUCUCUCAAUGACAAUAUAAAGGAUAGAAAGAUACGAAAGCAUAGUACUUGUAAAGAUCUGAUAUAGCACUUCCCAUUUCCAUAAAUACAGGCCUUGUAGGACAAAGAUAAGGAAAAAAGUAGAAAUGUUCGGGAGACCAUCUAUCUUCAAUGGGAAAAAGUUGAUAAUUAUUUGCUUUGAGCUUCUAUGUUCUAUCGACGCUAACGUUUUAUGUCUACUAAUAAUAAAGGGAAACACCGUGGAACAUCGAAAAUUACCAGUUAACAAGAGCAAUAAGGAAAUUAAUUGUACGACGUAACAAGCAUGAAUAUCUUUUUAAAUCAAUACUUUGAUUCUGCCAUGUAUAAGAUAUAAAAGCAAAGAUAUUAAUUAAAUUACCUGUAACUUAAGUCGAUAAAUAGAAUCGAAUACCAUUCGCAUUAAAAGCAUAAUAUCCAAAGGUAAAAGUAUUAAUGAUCAUUGAUUUCUUACUUCGAAAUAAAAUAUAAUUUACUGUUAUAAGGAAAAUAAAAGUUUUCUGCUAUCCAGAUACAUUUCAUACGGAUUUCGUAUGAAAUCUAUGAAUUUUGUGCAAAUUUUAUAUCUGAAAUCACGUCGUAAAAAUGACAAAAAAGGGGGGGGGGGAUUCAAAUAAUUUCCUUUCUUUCCUCCUGUGUUUUACAAUCUCCUUCUCCCUAGUUCCUUCGUCGUGAUACGAAUAAACAACUUUAUGGAUCUUGGAUAAUUAGAUAAGAUUGCCGUAAUUAUAUGCAAUUUAUAUAACACAAUGUAGAGUCUGUUUCAUGUAAAAUACGUAAUAAAUUAGAGACUACUUCUGCUGAGUCAAUUUACAUAAUACAUUUCUAAUUAAACACGAUCCUCGAGGUUAUUAAUAAACUCAAAAUCAAUUACUGAAAUCGUGAAUUCGUUAUAUCGGCUGAAACGUGCGACUGUUUAAUUAAUUCAGAAUUAAUUGGACAUCACAUUGUUCGUGAUGGAUGAUUAUAGUAGAGGA
Molecule: long non-coding RNA, 6172 nt
Organism: Bombus huntii
Lineage: Eukaryota; Metazoa; Arthropoda; Insecta; Hymenoptera; Apidae
Exons: 4
Source: RefSeq, a predicted model, not a curated record